RNAcentral lists this non-coding RNA (67 nucleotides) under Alicycliphilus denitrificans. Its description in RNAcentral is "Fluoride sequence". It matches the Rfam family "Fluoride riboswitch aptamer (crcB RNA motif)". RNAcentral also lists the same sequence under 1 other name. Lineage: Bacteria; Pseudomonadati; Pseudomonadota; Betaproteobacteria; Burkholderiales; Comamonadaceae. The record is from RNAcentral.
CGGCCGCCAGGAGAUGGCGUUCCUCCUGAAACCACCGCGUCGCGCGGUUGAUGACGCCUGCGGAGCC